This is a small nuclear RNA of Mastomys coucha (southern multimammate mouse), 103 nucleotides long. NCBI's taxonomy places the organism in Eukaryota, Metazoa, Chordata, Mammalia, Rodentia, Muridae. The record is from RefSeq and is a predicted model, not a curated record.
UUGCAUCAGCAACACAUAUACUGACAUUGGAAUGGUACAGAGAAGAUGAUCAUGGUGUCUGUGCAAGGAUGACACACAAAUCCCUGAAGCAUUCCACAGAAGC